AUUGAACGCUGGCGGCGUGCCUAACACAUGCAAGUCGGACGGUGAAGGGGAGCUUGCUUCCCGGAUCAGUGGCGCACGGGUGAGUAACGCGUGGAUGAUCUACCCUGAAGUUUGGGACAACAGUUGGAAACGACUGCUAAUACCGGAUACGGCACCUUAUCAUAUUUGGUGUUAAAGGAGGCCUCUAUACUAUGCUUUCGCUUUGGGAUGAGUCCGCGUUUCAUUAGGUAGUUGGUGAGGUAACGGCUCACCAAGCCAACGAUGAAUAGCUGGUCUGAGAGGAUGAUCAGCCACACUGGGACUGGAACACGGCCCAGACUCCUACGGGAGGCAGCAGUGGGGAAUAUUGCGCAAUGGGCGAAAGCCUGACGCAGCGACGCCGCGUGAGGGAUGAAGGGCUUCGGUUCGUAAACCUCUGUCAGAAGGGAAGAAGUGUGGUGGUGCUAAUCAGCCGCCAUUUGACGGUACCUUCAAAGGAAGCACCGGCUAACUCCGUGCCAGCCGCCGCCGUAAAAC
Molecule: ribosomal RNA, 516 nt
Filed under: uncultured bacterium
Lineage: Bacteria
Description: bacterial SSU rRNA
Rfam family: Bacterial small subunit ribosomal RNA
Source: RNAcentral